RNAcentral lists this microRNA (21 nucleotides) under Callithrix jacchus (white-tufted-ear marmoset). RNAcentral describes it as "cja-miR-9909". The record is from miRBase by way of RNAcentral. Lineage: Eukaryota; Metazoa; Chordata; Mammalia; Primates; Cebidae.
GGAAAUUGAUUAGAAAACGUC